Non-coding RNA from Nomia melanderi (Alkali bee), 429 nucleotides. The record is from RefSeq and is a predicted model, not a curated record. NCBI's taxonomy places the organism in Eukaryota, Metazoa, Arthropoda, Insecta, Hymenoptera, Halictidae.
CUGGGGACGACACCUACCCGGAUCGAACGUACGUAGUUAACAGCACGGUUAUUUACUGUCAGACAUAAAGGUUAUUUUGUUGGUCGAUGAAAGCCUGAUUGUUUCGGUUCGCGUGCACUAGCUAAAUGAAAAUUUCACGAGGAUGUCUGGAAAACGGGAGCUGGCACUUAUCUACGUCACGUCCAUCUUCCAUUAAUUCCACCGGAGAAAUGUCGAAUAGACAAUGUCGACGAAAAAGUGAAUAUCUGCGCAGGUGUGGAGGAGGGCGGUAAAGAUUCUUGUCAAGGUGACAGUGGUGGACCGUUACUGUGCAAUGGUACUCAAGUAGGAAUAGUAUCAUGGGGAUUCGGAUGUGCUCGUCCUGGCUUACCUGGCGUGUACACUCGAUUGGACGUCUAUUUGGAUUGGAUCAAUCAAUCCCUACACAAU